Salvelinus sp. IW2-2015 is the source of this 617-nucleotide long non-coding RNA. RefSeq lists it as uncharacterized. The record is from RefSeq and is a predicted model, not a curated record. NCBI's taxonomy places the organism in Eukaryota, Metazoa, Chordata, Actinopteri, Salmoniformes, Salmonidae.
CCGUGUUAACUAGCGUAGCCGUGUAACUAGCGUAGACAUGUAACUAGCGUAACCAUGUAACUAGAAGUAGCUGUAGUCAGUAAACAUCUUCAGGUGCAGUAGUACUGCACAUCAGAGCAUUCAAUUGUUUUCAGACAAAGAAACAAGAAAAAUCGGAGUUUCUACAAUGGACCAUGAGGACAAACCCAGCCUGCUGCUCUCCUUCCACACUGAGCCCAAACCUACAGAUUUAUCAAACUCUUAAUCGGUCUCUGCUGAGCAGCCCAGUAGCACCAACUCUAGUGAGCUGUCUAAGCCAGUCGUGCCUGUUCCAAGCCUACUCAAACUGCCUGAUUGCAGCCAAGCUCUUGCCUCGGGGAACCCUGGGCGCAGGAAAAGACCCUGUGCAUCCACACUACAACUUACUACAAUAGUCAUUCAUGUUUCGUUGGUUAUGCUACACAAGGAAAGACUUGGAAGACAGCACUCUCAUUCAUCACCUCAGGUUAAGCGGUCCCACCACAAAAUGUUUUUGAAAAUGUAUAGGCCUAUUUCAACUUCUUUGAACUUUUAGCUUAUUUCCACCCCCAUUUGUUUGCUGUGUUUUUUUGCAUUGCAUUUACAUUAAAGUUUGACUC